This 253-nucleotide ribosomal RNA is filed under the name uncultured bacterium. RNAcentral describes it as "partial 16S ribosomal RNA". It matches the Rfam family "Bacterial small subunit ribosomal RNA", at positions 524 to 776 of the family's 1533-position model. The record is from RNAcentral.
UACGGAGGGUGCAAGCGUUAUCCGGAUUCACUGGGUUUAAAGGGUGCGUAGGUGGGUUUGUAAGUCAGUGGUGAAAUCUCCAGGCUUAACCUGGAAACUGCCAUUGAUACUAUAGAUCUUGAAUUUUCUGGAGGUAAGCGGAAUAUGUCAUGUAGCGGUGAAAUGCUUAGAUAUGACAUAGAACACCAAUUGCGAAGGCAGCUUGCUACAGGAACAUUGACACUGAGGCACGAAAGCGUGGGGAUCAAACAGG